This 491-nucleotide ribosomal RNA is filed under the name uncultured bacterium. RNAcentral's name for it is "partial 16S ribosomal RNA". It matches the Rfam family "Bacterial small subunit ribosomal RNA", at positions 28 to 507 of the family's 1533-position model. The record is from RNAcentral.
GGUGAACGCUGGCGGCGGGCCUACAAAAUGCAAGUCGACCGCAGGAACGUAAAGCUUUUCCCUUACAGGUUGGCGGUGGCCGGCGGGGUAAGAAGACAAUGGAAUCCACUUUUUCCUGGGGGAUAACCGUGGGAAAAUUACGCUUAUACCGCAUACGACCUACCGGGUAAAGCCAGGGGUCUUCGGGCCUUUCGCGGUUUGAUAUAGCGAUGUCGGAUUAGCUAGUUGGCGGGGUAAAGGCCCACCAAGGCGACGAUCCGUAGCUGGUCUGAGAGGAUGAUCAGCCACACUGGAACUGAGACACGGUCCAGACUCCUACGGGAGGCAGCAGUGGGGAAUAUUGGACAAUGGGCGCAAGCCUGAUCCAGCCAUACCGCGUGGGUGAAGAAGGCCUUCGGGUUGUAAAGCCCUGUUGUUGGGAAAGAAAAGCAGCAGGUUAAUACCCCGCUGUUCUGACGGUACCCAAAGAAUAAGCACCGGCUAACUUCGUG